Molecule: ribosomal RNA, 565 nt
Filed under: Streptomyces sp. 418C05
Lineage: Bacteria; Bacillati; Actinomycetota; Actinomycetes; Kitasatosporales; Streptomycetaceae
Description: bacterial SSU rRNA
Rfam family: Bacterial small subunit ribosomal RNA
Source: RNAcentral
UAGUGGCGAACGGGUGAGUAACACGUGGGCAAUCUGCCCUGCACUCUGGGACAAGCCCUGGAAACGGGGUCUAAUACCGGAUACGAGCCUCCUCCGCAUGGUGGAGGUUGGAAAGCUCCGGCGGUGCAGGAUGAGCCCGCGGCCUAUCAGCUUGUUGGUGAGGUAACGGCUCACCAAGGCGACGACGGGUAGCCGGCCUGAGAGGGCGACCGGCCACACUGGGACUGAGACACGGCCCAGACUCCUACGGGAGGCAGCAGUGGGGAAUAUUGCACAAUGGGCGAAAGCCUGAUGCAGCGACGCCGCGUGAGGGAUGAAGGCCUUCGGGUUGUAAACCUCUUUCAGCAGGGAAGAAGCGAAAGUGACGGUACCUGCAGAAGAAGCGCCGGCUAACUACGUGCCAGCAGCCCGCGGUAAUACGUAGGGCGCAAGCGUUGUCCGGAAUUAUUGGGCGUAAAGAGCUCGUAGGCGGCUUGUCGCGUCGGUUGUGAAAGCCCGGGGCUUAACCCCGGGUCUGCAGUCGAUACGGGCAGGCUAGAGUUCGGUAGGGGAGAUCGGAAUUCCU